UCGUCAGGAACGAGGGGUGGGGGGGAGGGGAGAAUAACUAUGAUGAUCCUUUGAUCCUUCUAAAUAUGCCACCUAUGUAAAUGAACCAUCCAAUCUUUGAUUAUUUAUCCGUCUGAAAGACUGAAACCACCUCUCGUUAACUUUUCUUCUCAAUUAUUAAUUACACCCACCCUCUCGGCUCUCUCUCUCUCUCAUUUACUGUACCUGCUCCAUCGCAUCUUAAAUAGAACCCAUCUGCCCCUUCUCUUUCUCCCAUGUAGUUAUUACUUCUCUUUCUCCGUUUCUGUGUGUCUCUGUAUGAGUUUGUGUCUGAGCGUGUAAUGUCUGUAGAUCUUCAAUGGUGAAUACAAGGACAGUGCUUUCAUGUGGGUUUAGCAAAGGGUUUCUUACAGAGUUUAUUGGCAUUCUGUCCACCUCCCUUCUAUAGAAAACCUCUCUCUCAUGGAGGUGGGCAUACUGCCAACUGAGCUCUGUUGGCUUCUCUUUGUAAGACCCUCGUGAUAUAUCCACUCCAGCUCUUCUCUCCUGUUCCAUGAUAGAGAUCAAGGGUUUUUUGGGUCUCUUCGUUUCUUUCCAGCUGAUUCAGGAAAGGAACAAAGCUCAAAAAGCUUCUGAGGGAUAAAGGGUCUACCAGUACAUCCUUCAUAGAAAAAGAAAAGAAAAAAAGAGCAGAAAAUAGAAAAGUGAGGUAUAGUGGAAAUGAGAAGAAAGACAUUAUUUUGUCAGAGCUCAUGAGACCGAAAUGAUGGCGCUCCAUUUAGGUGCUUUGAGUUGGAGCUCGCAUUUGUAAUGAUCUUCUGUAUAUUUACUGUCUUGUGUAUAGUCAUGUUGAUGAUCAAAUCACUGUCAACGGAGGAGAUCGAUUGAGAUCUCAAUCUUCAUUCAUAGCUUCUUGCAUGCCUCUAGCGUCUACCAAUUGUUCAAUGGAUUAUGGCUAGCUAUAAUUAUAUAUAUGUAAAAAGUACAAUAAUUUUUUUU
Long non-coding RNA from Alnus glutinosa, 978 nucleotides. RefSeq lists it as uncharacterized. The record is from RefSeq and is a predicted model, not a curated record. NCBI's taxonomy places the organism in Eukaryota, Viridiplantae, Streptophyta, Magnoliopsida, Fagales, Betulaceae. The transcript has 2 exons.